AUUGAACGCUGGCGGCAGGCCUAACACAUGCAAGUCGAGCGAGCGGCGGACGGGUGUGUAAUGUCUGGGAAACUGCCUGCUGGAGGGGGAUAAAUACUGGAAACGGUAGCUAAUAUCGCAAACCAUCAUAUGUGCCCAGAUGGGAUGCGCUAUUAGGUGGGGUAACGGCUCACCUAGGCGACGAUCCCCAGCUGGUCUGAGGGGAUGACCAGCCACACGGGAACUGAGAUACGGUCCAGACUCCUACGGGAGGCAGCAGUGGGGAAUAUUGCACAAUGGGCGCUAGCCUGAUGCAGCCAUGCCGCGUGUGUGAAGAAGGCCUUCGGGUUGUAAAGCACUUUCAGCGGGGAGGCGUUACCCGCAGAAGAAGCACCGGCUAACUCCGUGCCAGCAGCCGCGGUAAUAC
RNAcentral lists this ribosomal RNA (406 nucleotides) under uncultured bacterium. RNAcentral's name for it is "partial 16S ribosomal RNA". It matches the Rfam family "Bacterial small subunit ribosomal RNA", at positions 30 to 526 of the family's 1533-position model. The record is from RNAcentral.